GGAUGUGAGGGCGAUCUGGCUGCGACAUCUGUCACCCCAUUGAUCGCCAGGGUUGAUUCGGCUGAUCUGGCUGGCUAGGCGGGUGUCCCCGUUCUCCCUCACCACUCCAUGUGCGUCCCUCCAGAAGCUGCGUGCUCAGUCGAAGAGGACAACUGGUCAAGGGUAUAGGAGUAGCUGCGCUCCCCUGCUAGAACCUCCAAACAAGCUCUCAAGAGAAAACAUGCAGUAUUGUUCUUUCUGAGUCUAUCUUAUUUCAUUUCAUGUGAUAAAUCACGUUCUGCCUGAUUUU
RNAcentral lists this small nuclear RNA (289 nucleotides) under Dipodomys ordii (Ord's kangaroo rat). Its description in RNAcentral is "7SK RNA". It matches the Rfam family "7SK RNA". From Rfam's summary of the family: 7SK was discovered as an abundant small nuclear RNA in the mid-70s but a possible function has only recently been suggested. Lineage: Eukaryota; Metazoa; Chordata; Mammalia; Rodentia; Heteromyidae. The record is from Rfam by way of RNAcentral.